This 84-nucleotide transfer RNA is filed under the name Felis catus (domestic cat). It matches the Rfam family "tRNA". Rfam says of the family: Transfer RNA (tRNA) molecules are approximately 80 nucleotides in length. Lineage: Eukaryota; Metazoa; Chordata; Mammalia; Carnivora; Felidae. The record is from Rfam by way of RNAcentral.
GCCUGUGUGGCUCAGUUGGUUGAGCAUCUGACUUCAGCUCAGGCAUAAUCCCCCAGUUCAUGGGUUUGAGCCCUAUAUUGGGCU